UUGCCUCUUAUACGUAAUACUCUAUCGAUUUGUUGUUACAAAAUAUAUAAUACACAUGAUUUUUUAACCAUAUUGAAUUGAUAUAUUCUUCGUGUAUCUUUUUCAUAAAAAAUAAUUAUAUACAUAAAAUAGAAUAUUUAUUUUUCAUUAAGCUGUAAAUUUGUUAAAAUCUAAAUAAAAUAUUGUUUGCUCUCAACAUGUCAAAAUUACACAAUACAGUGAUGAAAUACA
Molecule: long non-coding RNA, 231 nt
Filed under: Brassica napus (rape)
Lineage: Eukaryota; Viridiplantae; Streptophyta; Magnoliopsida; Brassicales; Brassicaceae
Description: long non-coding RNA (BNAP_LNC018257)
Source: RNAcentral